Molecule: transfer RNA, 67 nt
Filed under: Euspira pila
Lineage: Eukaryota; Metazoa; Mollusca; Gastropoda; Littorinimorpha; Naticidae
Description: tRNA-Asn
Source: RNAcentral
CCAAAAAUAAGUGAAAGCCAAAAUAGAGGUAUCUAGCUGUUAAUUAGAAGAAUGUAAAAUAAUUACU